AGGUGGAUGCGGCCUCGAUUAGCGGGGGAACCACAUGAAAAAAAGCGAGCUACUGGGUGUACCUCCUGGGUAGUUUGGAAAUCACCUAAGAUAUAUAUGUAUAUAUUUAUAAAUAAAAGUUAAUAUAUAUAAAUUAACAUUAAUUUUUUUUAACAGGAAAUGCACAAUGCUAAAAACUGCGUAGGAGAUUUUAAUACAAUAGUACUACCAAGCCUGAUGUUGGCCGCUAUUUCAAUGAAUGCAGCAGUGUCACAGCUAGCAAUCAAAAGUAACAAGAUAUUGAGGAAAUGCAGAUGGCAAUAAACUGUGUAGGAGUUCAUGAUUGCAAUAGAAUAAAAUCGACCAAGCCUGAAGUCAGCAGCCCCUUCAAUGAAUGCAGCAGUGUGACAGCCAGCAAUCAAAAGUUACAAGAUAUCGAGGAAAUGCAGAAGGCAAAAAACUGCGUAGGAGAUCAUUAAUACAAAAGUAUUAUAUAAACCAAACCUGAUGUUGCCAGCUCCUUCAAUGAAUGCAGCAGUGUGACAGCCAGCAAUCAAAAGUAACAAGAUAUCGAGGAAAUGCAGAAGGCAAAAAACUGCAUAGGAGAUCAUUAAUACAAUAGUAUUAUAUAAACCAAGCCUGAUGUUGGCCGCUCAUUCAAAGAAUGCAGCAGUGUGACAGCCAGCAAUCAAAAGUAACAAGAUGUCGAGGAAAUGCAGAGUGCAAUAAACUUUGUAGGAGAUUAUGAUUGCAAUAGAAUAAAAUCGACCAAGCCUGAAGUUCUUCAAUGCACGCAGCAGUGUGACAGCCAGCAAUCAAAAGUUACAAGAUAUCGAGGAAAUGCAGAAGGCAAAAAACUGCGUAGGAGAUUAUUAAUACAAUAGUAUUAUAUCAACCAAGCCUGAUGUCGGUAGCUUCUUCAAUGAAUGCAGCAGUGUGACAGCCAGCAAUCAAUAGUGAUAGUGACAAGAAUCUAGGAAAUACAGAAGGCAAAGAAGCAGAUGUCAUCAAAGAAGAUCUUUGUUCCUGCAAUGUUUCCGCAGACGAUACAUCCAACAGAGCGAAGUGGAAGGAAAAGACUCGGAAAAAAGACCCCACCACCAUAUGGGAACAAUGCAAGGGAGAGAGAGAGAAUAUAAUUUUAUAUUUUUAUUUUUUGAUAACAUAAAAUAAACCAACAAUAUCCUACACAUUUUUUUUAUUUCUUUUUGUGUCUGUCUUAAUAGUUAUUACAAAUCUGUGAUGCGAAACAAACUAUACGAAAACGUCAAUCCACGUACAACGCCCGCGAAGCUGCUUUA
RNAcentral lists this long non-coding RNA (1280 nucleotides) under Pectinophora gossypiella (pink bollworm). RNAcentral describes it as "uncharacterized LOC126381702". Lineage: Eukaryota; Metazoa; Arthropoda; Insecta; Lepidoptera; Gelechiidae. The record is from RNAcentral.